UACGUAGGUGGCAAGCGUUGUCCGGAAUUAUUGGGCGUAAAGCGCGCGCAGGCGGUCCCUUAAGUCUGAUGUGAAAGCCCACGGCUCAACCGUGGAGGGUCAUUGGAAACUGGGGGACUUGAGUACAGAAGAGGAAAGCGGAAUUCCACGUGUAGCGGUGAAAUGCGUAGAGAUGUGGAGGAACACCAGUGGCGAAGGCGGCUCACUGGUCCGGUACUGACGCUGAGGUGCGAAAGCGUGGGGAGCAAACAGG
RNAcentral lists this ribosomal RNA (253 nucleotides) under uncultured bacterium. RNAcentral describes it as "partial 16S ribosomal RNA". It matches the Rfam family "Bacterial small subunit ribosomal RNA", at positions 524 to 776 of the family's 1533-position model. The record is from RNAcentral.